This 59-nucleotide microRNA precursor is filed under the name Triops cancriformis. Its description in RNAcentral is "microRNA tcf-mir-10 precursor". Its record names the gene tcf-mir-10. It matches the Rfam family "mir-10 microRNA precursor family", at positions 8 to 67 of the family's 74-position model. From Rfam's summary of the family: In this case the mature sequence comes from the 5' arm of the precursor. Lineage: Eukaryota; Metazoa; Arthropoda; Branchiopoda; Notostraca; Triopsidae. The record is from miRBase by way of RNAcentral.
UACCCUGUAGAUCCGAAUUUGUAUUUCCCACAAUGACAAAUUCGGUUCUAGAGAGGUUC